ACAUACAUAUUAUAUUUAGCCGGCCCACUGCUGCAAGACCUCACUACACAUCAGUUCCUCCCCAAAUAUCUAGAUCCCCAAAUCUCAAACCCCUAGCUUGGCAGUGCUCCCUUCUCUUGUGAUGUCCACCGCGAGUUAUUCUGUAUCCGGCAUUCGUUGCCAUACCCCAGUAUACCAACUUCCACUUAUGUUCUGCCCCAUUGUCGUGAGCAAGUUGUGGUUCUCGUCUCCGCAAGUAUCCUCAUGAUGGUUAGGUGUUCUACAAGUGCAAAUCGGACAGAGUAAGAUCUUCUCCUUGAUCCCAUUUACCUUUUGGUUACCCAUCCUAUCGAGGCAUCACUAAUUUACUUCAUGGUUGCAUGUUUCCCCAAUUAUAGCUUGCGCAUAAAUUCUAGCAUUGGGAGCUACAGUAUGUGGAGUAUCUGAUUCAGUAACGGUACCUUGUUGGUGCACUACAGUAUGCUAGAGCUACAAGGGAAGAGCUUGAGCAUGAGAAAGCAGUGAAACUAGCCAUUGUUGCAUCCAGUAUCGGCAGCAAUGCCGCUGACGAUCGCAGACUGUUGACGAUGAUGAAUGCUUUGAUACUGAUAGCAAGAGAGAUAUUGUUCCUCAUGAAGUUAGGCCUUGGUCUGGGUUUACUGGUAUGCUUUCUGAUGCUCUUUGUAAUGUUGAUGAAAUGAUAUGAGCAGUCACAUUAGUCUUUCUUGAUGUAUCUUUGUUUCUAUGAGUUGGUAUGGGUUUGUUGCUAUGCUUUAUGAUGCUCUUUGUAAUGCGUAUGACCAGUAACAUUAGUACUUCUGUUUGUAUCUUUGUUUCUAUCAGUUCUGUAUCAAACUAUCGCAAGCUAAAGAGGGG
RNAcentral lists this long non-coding RNA (855 nucleotides) under Triticum aestivum (bread wheat). Its description in RNAcentral is "long non-coding RNA (TAES_LNC006911)". Lineage: Eukaryota; Viridiplantae; Streptophyta; Magnoliopsida; Poales; Poaceae. The record is from RNAcentral.